GCUUAGCCCUAAACUCAGAUGUAAUUACAUACAAACCCAUCCGCCAGGGUACUACAAGCGCUAGCUUAAAACCCAAAGGACUUGACGGUGUCUCAGACCCACCUAGAGGAGCCUGUUCUAGAACCGAUAAUCCCCGUUAAACCUCACCAUCCCUUGUCUUCUCCCGCCUAUAUACCGCCGUCGCAAGCUUACCCUGUGAAGGGUUUACAGUAAGCAAAAUGGGCCAACCCCAGAACGUCAGGUCGAGGUGUAGCUCACGAGAUGGAAAGAAAUGGGCUACAUUUUCUAUUACAGAAUAUUCACGAACGGUACCAUGAAACCUAGUACCCGAAGGUGGAUUUAGCAGUAAAAAACAAACAGAGCGUGUUUUUGAAUCAGGCUCUGAGACGCGC
RNAcentral lists this ribosomal RNA (392 nucleotides) under Serrasalmus gouldingi. RNAcentral's name for it is "partial 12S ribosomal RNA". It matches the Rfam family "Bacterial small subunit ribosomal RNA", at positions 825 to 1384 of the family's 1533-position model. The record is from RNAcentral. Lineage: Eukaryota; Metazoa; Chordata; Actinopteri; Characiformes; Serrasalmidae.